This 432-nucleotide ribosomal RNA is filed under the name uncultured bacterium. RNAcentral describes it as "partial 16S ribosomal RNA". It matches the Rfam family "Bacterial small subunit ribosomal RNA", at positions 29 to 507 of the family's 1533-position model. The record is from RNAcentral.
AACGAACGCUGGCGGCAUGCCUAACACAUGCAAGUCGAACGAGACCUUCGGGUCUAGUGGCGCACGGGUGCGUAACGCGUGGGAACCUGCCCUUAGGUUCGGAAUAACUCCCCGAAAGGGGUGCUAAUACCGGAUAAUGUCUUCGGACCAAGAUUUUUUGCCUUUGGAUGGGUCCGCGGUGGAUUAGGUUGUUGGUAGGGUAAAAGCCUACCAAGGCGACGAUUCAUAGCGGGUCUGAGGGGAUGAUCAGCCACACUGGGACUGAGACACGGCCCAGACUCCUACGGGAGGCAGCAGUGGGGAAUAUUGGACAAUGGGCGAAAGCCUGAUCCAGCAAUGCCGCGUGAGUGAUGAAGGCCUUAGGGUUGUAAAGCUCUUUUACCCGGGAUGAUAAUGACAGUACCGGGAGAAUAAGCUCCGGCUAACUCCGUG